CUGGCUCAGGAUGAACGCUGGCGGCGUGCCUAAUACAUGCAAGUCGAGCGAAUGGAUUAAGAGCUUGCUCUUAUGAAGUUAGCGGCGGACGGGUGAGUAACACGUGGGUAACCUGCCCAUAAGACUGGGAUAACUCCGGGAAACCGGGGCUAAUACCGGAUAAUAUUUUGAACUGCAUGGUUCGAAAUUGAAAGGCGGCUUCGGCUGUCACUUAUGGAUGGACCCGCGUCGCAUUAGCUAGUUGGUGAGGUAACGGCUCACCAAGGCAACGAUGCGUAGCCGACCUGAGAGGGUGAUCGGCCACACUGGGACUGAGACACGGCCCAGACUCCUACGGGAGGCAGCAGUAGGGAAUCUUCCGCAAUGGACGAAAGUCUGACGGAGCAACGCCGCGUGAGUGAUGAAGGCUUUCGGGUCGUAAAACUCUGUUGUUAGGGAAGAACAAGUGCUAGUUGAAUAAGCUGGCACCUUGACGGUACCUAACCAGAAAGCCACGGCUAACUACGUGCCAGCAGCCGCGGUAAUAC
This 527-nucleotide ribosomal RNA is filed under the name uncultured marine bacterium. Its description in RNAcentral is "bacterial SSU rRNA". It matches the Rfam family "Bacterial small subunit ribosomal RNA", at positions 19 to 526 of the family's 1533-position model. The record is from RNAcentral.